RNAcentral lists this long non-coding RNA (3002 nucleotides) under Sus scrofa (pig). RNAcentral describes it as "lncRNA (ENSSSCG00045024676.1)". Lineage: Eukaryota; Metazoa; Chordata; Mammalia; Artiodactyla; Suidae. The record is from RNAcentral.
UUUUUGUUUGUUUUUGCUUUUUAGGGCCUCACCUGAGGCAUAUGGAGGUUCCCAGGCUAGGGGUUGAAUCGGAGCUGCAGCUGCUGGCCUACACCACAGCCACAGCCACGCAGGAUUCGAGCCACAUCCGUGACGUGCAUGCACCACAGGUCAUGGCAACACCGGAUCCUUAACCCACUGAGCAAAGCCAGGGAUCGAACCUGUGUCAUCCUGGAUCCAGUCAGAUUCCUUUCUGCUGCGCACGCCGGGAGCUCCCUAGUAUCAUUUGAAUUAAAAGGACUCUGUGUAGGUUAAUUUCUUAGCCCGUGGGAGAGGUGUGGCUCAUUGUCAGCAGCUUCGUUGUCUCAGCCUCUGGCGUCUGGAUUCCCAACUCUGUUUCUCACUUGUUCUCUCAGCUUCCCUUUGCCCAAGUGGCUGUGGCGGUUCCCAAAUGCCCGAGCAAAGACAAGCCUAGAUCAUUCAGCUACAUCGUUGACUACAAGCUACAUCUCCAACUUGGCUGCAUGGUGGACUUCAGCGCGAGUGUGGGGGUGUGUGUGUGUGUGUGUGUGUGGGUGGGUGUGGGUGUGUGUGUGGGUGUGUGUGUGUGCGCACUUCCCCCACCCCGCCCCAGCAUGGUCCUCACGGCCCACACCCAGGCUGCUCGUGCGCCUCUGCCCAAGGCCUCACCCUGUCCUCUGCGCAGCCGGCCUUGCCCUUCCAGACCUACCUGGAGUCCUCCUCCUUCCGGGCUUUCUUGAGGACGCCGGCGCCUGUCGGCCCUUCUCCCCUUCGCUCCGCGGCACUUUGGUCUCCCCCACUCAGCGAAGCACGUCGCUGUUUCGUCAGGGUUCUGGGCCCUUUGGUGAGACCGUAAGCUCCACGGAAGCAGGGACCCGUCCACCUUGGCAAGCGCCGUGGUGCCCAGCGCCGUGCCCAGCGUCACGAAACAUCCGCCAGACGUCAAAGCCACCUGAUGCUUCAAGCUGUGUGAAGCACUGAUUUACGGGCACAUGACGGGAGGUGGGGUGGGCCGUCCUCUGUCCAAGGGGAGUUGCAGAAUUCUUCCAUCAGCUCUUCCUCAGAUGUCGCCCGGGCCCAGGUUACGAUCUGCUCUUCGACGGUGGAAGCUAAUAGCUGCUUACACCGGUUUCUUGCCACACAAAGCCAGUGCGGGGGGCUCUCCAUCUCCACACCCAACAUCUUGACAUGAAAGGCUUUGUCCAAGGGCUCUGCCUAUUGAAUAGGCAGUAAGUGCCUACACUUGCUCAAGAAAAUAAGCGCGCCCACAUUCCUGACUCAUUUAACAUGUCACGCGAAUUACAGCCCAAGCCGAUGGACGUCGCGUCCAAAAGCGGGCUUCUGCAGGCGGGGUUACCUCCGGCGAAACGCUGCGCCUGUCGGAUGAUGGGGGUCUUGACACUUUUUUAAACUAAAAGAGGUAGAAACUCUCCCUCUGUGGUCUGCUGUCCUCACCAGGCCCUCGGUGGCCCCCCGCUUCCCUCCUGUCCUACGUGAGGGUUCAGUUUUGUCCCUUUUGACCAAUCCACUCUGGAAAGUAACCUUCUGGGACCAAGGACCUUCUCGACUGCGCUGCCGUGAGGAUGCCACUCCAGACAGAGUGUGCCAGAAAGGCGCUCUGUGUCAUGACCGCCCGUCCUGUUCGGAACUUUACCUCGAGGCAGGGACCUGCCUUACCACUAAAAUAUCUUGGGGUUCGGUGUUCCAGAACGCCCAGCCCCAUCACGGAUAAAACUCAAGGAGUCUUCUUUGCUCUGUUCCUAAGAAGGGCUCUUUCAUUUAAAAGGAAGGAAGGAGCUCCCCCUGUGGCUCAGCAGGUUAAGAACCCAACUAGGAUCCAUGAGGACGCGGGAUCGAUCCCUGGCCUCGCUCAGUGGGUUAAGGAUACGGCGUUGCCAUGAGCUGUGGCGUAGGUCGCAGACACAGCUCUGAUCCGAUUCAACUUGACCCUCAGCUCAGGAACUUCCAUAUGCUGCAGGUGUGGCCCUAAACAGAAAAACAAAAUUUAAGGGAAGGAAGCUAAGACUUAUUGACUGCCUAUUCAUGCCCAGCACUGCUUCUUUUCUUAUUAUUUCAUCCUUCCAGCCAAUCAUAACAUCGAACGAUGGUGGUCUCCCAACUUGCAGGCGCAGCGCUACUGGACGGUGGUCAUCUUCGAGGUGGGGUGCGGUAGCAGAUUCCGGCCACCGGAGGGCAGGCGUGGGCUACACAAGGGGGCCCGUCCAGCCCAGGGCCGAACCUUCAGGAGACCUGCUCCUUACUUCUUACGGUGGAGCCUGAGAAAGAUGACGCUGAGCAAAGGGGGCGAGAGACCUGAGACAAGGGAUCCUGCGACGCGGGACUUGCUUCAACUACAGGCUUGGAAAUGCCUGUGCCUUGGGAGCUCCCUGCUGGUCCAGGGGUUAGGGCUUGGUGCCUUCACGGCUGCAGCCUGGCUUCGAUCCCCGGUCUGGAGCUGAUCCCACAUCGAGCCGCUGCAGCCGCAGCAACAAAACAGAACAAAAACACUGCGCCUCAAACUACCCGCCCCACGCCAUAGCACACCUAUCCGCUCGCCCUUUGAUAACCCUGAGCCAUGUGAUUGCCCCGGGGCACAUAACCGCCUCACUGCGCAAGCGCCAGUGUUAGCGAGCAGCCGCCCCCCCUCCCCCCAGACAUACCCAUGCGCUGGGUAACCACUGAGAUACUGGGGAUCUAGUAUUACCAGUAGUAAUUAUUACCUUUUUGGCCAACCCCAUGGCAUAUGGAAAUUCCUGGUCCAAGGAUCAAAUCUGAGCUGAAGCGUAUAUUCAGGAAGUUCCUGGUGUGGCUCAGUGGAAACAAGCCCGACCAGCGUCCGUGAGGCUGCGGGUUCGAGCCCUGACCUCGCUCGGUGGGUUAAGGAUCCGGCGUUGCCGUGAGCUGCGGUGUAGGUCGCAGAUGUGGCUCGGAUCCCGUGUUGCUGUGGCUGGGGUGUAGGCUGGUGGCUGUAGCUCUGAUUUGACCCCUAGCCUGGGAACUUC